UCCUGGUGGCUCAGAGGGUAAAGCAUCUGCCUGCAAGGUGGGAGACCCAGGUUCGAUCCCUGGGUCGGGAA
This 71-nucleotide transfer RNA is filed under the name Ovis aries (sheep). It matches the Rfam family "tRNA". From Rfam's summary of the family: Transfer RNA (tRNA) molecules are approximately 80 nucleotides in length. Their secondary structure includes four short double-helical elements and three loops (D, anti-codon, and T loops). Further hydrogen bonds mediate the characteristic L-shaped molecular structure. tRNAs have two regions of fundamental functional importance: the anti-codon, which is responsible for specific mRNA codon recognition, and the 3' end, to which the tRNAs corresponding amino acid is attached (by aminoacyl-tRNA synthetases). tRNAs cope with the degeneracy of the genetic code in two manners: having more than one tRNA (with a specific anti-codon) for a particular amino acid; and 'wobble' base-pairing, i.e. permitting non-standard base-pairing at the 3rd anti-codon position. Lineage: Eukaryota; Metazoa; Chordata; Mammalia; Artiodactyla; Bovidae. The record is from Rfam by way of RNAcentral.